Molecule: non-coding RNA, 2480 nt
Organism: Pantherophis guttatus
Lineage: Eukaryota; Metazoa; Chordata; Lepidosauria; Squamata; Colubridae
Source: RefSeq, a predicted model, not a curated record
UUCCUGGGGUUGGGGGCUGCCCCUACGAGGCGUUACAGGCAUGGCUCCUGUGCUGUGUUUGUGUCAGUAGGUGGCACAGAGAAGCAGGCUAGAUCUACGCUCAGUGCUCUGAUGGGUGGGCACUCAGAAUGAUUACUAGCCUGACAGAAUUUGCAAAUUUUCUUUUGAUCCUUUGUGGGGGUUGCAGGGUCUGAUCCCCAAUAUUUGAGCCUGCCAAGAAAGGAAGAGGACUACACUUGUAAACUGUUUCCGAGGGGGACAUGAUCCUGACUCUUCAACACAUGUUUAAAAUGAGGUCUGAAAGUCAUGGGCCAAAAUGAAGAUGUUUUGUCCUGAGCCUUACAAGGGAGCAGAGAAGUCAUGAAGUCCAACUCCUAACCCACGGAGGAUUCCUGUUGUGGCAUCACUGGCAGAUGGAGCAGCGUCAUGGUGCAAGCGACGGGAACGAGAUGGGAUGCAGUUCUGAAAGGUUUCCAAGGAGUCCGGCUCCAUUCGUCCUUCAGUGACCUUCAUCUUCAGUUUCACUUCAAUUCAGCAUGGGUGCUUUCCUCUAGCCUCAAUGUGCAUUUUGGAGAAUCAUCACUUGGGAAAUGUGAUUUCGAGUGAGCCAUGUUCUGAGCCUCCUUGAGAGCGCCAGUUUGCUUGUGUUCUUUAAGUUUCUUUGUCAGCUGAGCUUAGUGGAGGGUAUACAGGUAAUCCUUGAGUUAUGAAUGUAACCCAAGGAUUCGUUUGAUUGAAUCAUGUCAAAUGAAUGUGAUCACUCCCUGCUUUCCCCAAUGCAUUUGUUAAUCGAAUGAGCAGGUCAUUAAAUGCACAUGAGGUAUCUCAGAGUGGGGAAGAGAUGUGGGACAUCCUCGAAUCCACUGAAAUACUUCAUACUCUCCUGGGGUCCCCACAAUUACUCCCCCCCCCCCAAUCUUGCCCCGCCUGCCUUGCUAGCGUCCCGGAUUCCACUUACUCCUCCCCAUCCCAUUUCCCAUGGAUUACUUACGUUUUGAAAAGGUCCAGAAGAGGCUGACCCGCUUGCAGAGAAGCCAAAGUGUUUUAUUCAGAUGGUGGCGAAGCUGUAAGAAUGUGAAAUCUAAGGAAAACAUUUUCGCCAGCUUCUGAGAAAAGACUUCGGCUUGGGGCCGUGUGUCCAGCAGGCUUCUGGUAGUAGAAAAGGCCUGGGCAGGGCCACAGCAGCCUUCUGCUCCAAGACAGCUUCAGGGAUUGAGACACCAGCAGCAGCAGCCAAUCUCAUUUGAACUACUAGACAGUCAGUAGCAAGCAGGAGACUGCUUAUUGCCGGUCAGACUGGGCCCAAACUAACCUGCAGGCACUCGGGGCAGAGAAGCCGGUCUUUUAUUCAGAUGGGGAAAGCUGUUUUCUCUCUGGUUGUUUGUAUGGGUGAACAACUGCUGUGGAGCUGCAAGAUUCGUCAUUUCGGGCCUUGUUUGGAAAUACUAGUGGGGUGCUGACCAUGUAGCUUCAAAUGUUCGCUAAAGGAAUUCUUGUAACCGGGGGAUUAACCUGUACGGAGCAGCUGUCUGAAGACAGAGGCGCCUCCAGGUUUACUGCAAAUAUUGAAUCCAGGAGCGGCCCCAGAAGCCACCCAAAAGGGAGAUGGCAGCAGAUCCGCCCCUCGCCCGGCCUGGGUUUAUUGUCCUUCCUCAAAUAUACAUUCUGGAAUUAAAUCCAGUAUCCUAAUGAAAGCUGGCCAAUGCAGAAUAGAAGAGAAAUAUUAUAAAGAAGUUGCAAAUAAAGUUUUCCUCAAAUCAGAAUGGCCUCUCUGUUCUCAAUGACUCCUGCAAGUUUUGAAUCGGCCCAGUGCUUAUCCUACCUGGGCUUCUUUCUAGGUAGGGGGAGGCUUCAAGAGGGGAUGGGAGGUUGCAAUGGCUUCCGUGAAUGUGGCUGGCUCACAUGGGGCUCCAUCCUGACUGCCCCCCCCCCCCCCCCGGACUGACAUGGGUCUCACCAGCUCAGUCCCUGAAGAAAGGGGGAGAACAGGCAUCCCCCAACAACAGCCUUGUCCCCCCUAAAAUGCCUUUUGGCUGCAAGAGAAUUUUCCAAAAGUCUCUUGACAAGCCCAUCCUCCAAUAGUUGGUUUAUUUAUUAGAUUUUUUAUCCUGCUUUUACUAAUUUAUAAGGAAUUCAAGGCAGCAAGCAUACUACAGGCAGUCCUCAACGUACGACCACAGCUGAGCCCAAAAUUUCUGUUGCUAAGUGAAACAUUUUUGAGUUUUGCCCCAUUUUACAAACUUCCUUGUCACCGUUUGUUGUUCAGUGAAUCUAGCUUCCCCGUUGACUUGUCAGAAGGUGGCAAAAAGAGAAGCCUGGGACACUACGACCGUCAUAAAUACAAACCCAUGGCCAAACAUCUGAAUUUCAAUCACGUGAUCACAGGGAUGCUACAAUGGUCAAAACUGAAAAAGGGUCACAAAGGACUUUUCAGUGCUGCUGUAACUUAGAAAGGUCACUAAAUAAACUUGUAAAUCGAG